UCGGCCUCCGCAGCCGCACUCAUCCCCGCCGGCACUAACGCGGCCUGACAUGGCCCUUGCACGCGGCGCCCCCCCCAGAAGCCGUUAGGGGCCGCCCGCCCUUUCUGCGGGUGCUAAUUGGCUCUGUGAUGGGCCCGCGGUCACCGCUCGGUCAGCCGUGGCUGACACUAUCUCCCAGCCUGUCCCCCCAAGGGCUCCGCCAUCCGCUCCGCUCAGCCUCGCCGGGCCGCUGAACCGUGAAUGCGUGGCCGCGAGGGACUAGGCCACGUGAGGCCCUAGCAUGGUCUCCCCUCCCCCACACCACACAGCUCCAGCCUUUGAUGGAGAACCCUUCCCAGAAUGCCUCUGGGUCCCCAGGCUCGGGAAGGAGAUCCCGCCGUCCUCCAAACAGCUGCUGCAGUCCUCCUCCUCCUCCUCCUCUCCCAAGGAUCCUCCUGGAAAAAGCUCCCUCCCCGGCCAGCCGUGGCCUGGGAUCUCUGGGAGAGCAGAUCUCUCCGCGUGCUCAGCAGUGAACCCCAAAGGCCCCACGGCCCCCAGAACCGGGCAGGACGGACCUCGCCUUCCCGGGUCUUCCCCCUCAGCAGAGACCACUGCCUCUUUACGUCACAGAUGAGGAAACAAAGUCAGAGAGCUGUGGAGUCCUAGAAUCUCUGCCGAGCCCACCCCUUCUCAGAGAGGAAUCCCCCAUUAGAACAAACCUGAGGAUCCACCCUCCAGAUUGGGCUUGAAGGCCUCCAACUGCCUCUUGAGCCUGAGAUCUCAUUAGAUUUUUUUUUAAUCAUUACUGAGCUUGAGGUCCACUAAAACCCCCAGUUCUUUUUCAGACACCUUUCCCCAAUCUUGUACUUGUCAUGAUGGCUUUUUUAACCCAAAUAAAAGACAUUUAUCCUUA
Molecule: long non-coding RNA, 892 nt
Organism: Antechinus flavipes (yellow-footed antechinus)
Lineage: Eukaryota; Metazoa; Chordata; Mammalia; Dasyuromorphia; Dasyuridae
Exons: 2
Source: RefSeq, a predicted model, not a curated record